Molecule: long non-coding RNA, 465 nt
Filed under: Zostera marina
Lineage: Eukaryota; Viridiplantae; Streptophyta; Magnoliopsida; Alismatales; Zosteraceae
Description: long non-coding RNA (ZMAR_LNC002873)
Source: RNAcentral
UUCUAUUAGUUGUACCCUAUAAAAGGGAAACAUUUAUUAUUUUGGAGAGAAUUAAUAAAUCAGUUUUAAAGUUAAAAAAUGGAUCUAGGGUUGCAGCAACCCAAUAUCCAGACUUCUACUGUUCCAUUGCUCUCCUCCUACCAUCUGCUGCACUUCAGCAACACUACUCCUAUUAGACGAAUGGAAGAAAAGCAAAGGGACGUGUAUGAGGAGAUGGAAAAACGAUUGAAAAUGUUAGAAGAAACCCGAACAAACAAAGAAAUCGACGGAAAUAUUACAUCUCCUACUAGUCGCAUUCCGUCAUCUAAAGGUUCGACUUUUUAUACAAAACCUUCGAAGACUAUUAUCUCGAUUACGUUACCAUUACCAUCAAAUUCUAAAAUUCCACAUAUACCAUCGAAAAUGAUGGAUAUUGUACUUAAACGACGUCGAUGUUAAUGUUUAAACUAGUUCUUAAACUAUUUC